RNAcentral lists this long non-coding RNA (710 nucleotides) under Homo sapiens (human). RNAcentral's name for it is "non-protein coding lnc-RAC3-1:7". Lineage: Eukaryota; Metazoa; Chordata; Mammalia; Primates; Hominidae. The record is from RNAcentral.
GUGACCCAUCUUCCGUGCUUGAAAUCGACGUAGUGGACCCUGGCUAGCAUAUUUUUCCCUGCCAAGAUUAUUGCAAAAAGACGAUGUGGUGGUUAAUAUCGGAAAGAAUGUGUGGUUAAUAUCAGGAAGAACACGUGAAAUGGAGAAUUUCAGGGCUAACAUUUCUUGUUUUGUUUCUGAAAACAUCGGCAUGUCCUAAAAAGUGUCGCCUGUGCCCAUCAUCUCUCAGGCUUGGGAGCAGGACACCGCCGGCUCACUUUAAAGCCAAGGGAAAGAAUUUGGACAACCAACUACGUCUGGAGAAGACACCAAUGUCAGCAGAGCUCCGCUUUCAUCUGUGGGCGAAGGAUUACCUAGAUGCCAAGGCAAGAGACUGAAGACACAAACUGUUUCAGUAUAACAAAGAAAAUAGGCCGGGAGCGGUGGCUCACGCCUGUAAUCCCAGCACUUUGGGAGGCCGAGGCGGGUGGAUCACGAGGUCAGGAGAUCGAGACCAUCCUGGCUAACACGCUACCUAAAAGGGAAGCGCCCCCUGUCCUAUGAUCACGUGACUUGCUUCACCUUGUCAAUCACUUGGAAGAUUCACCCUCCUUACCCUGCCCUCCUUGUCUUGUAUGCAAUAAAUAUCAGUGCGCCCAGCCAUUCGGGGCCACUACUGGUCUCCGUGUCUUGAUGGUAGUGGUCCCCCGGGCCCAGCUGUUCUCUCUUUA